GAGUUUGAUCAUGGCUCAGAGCGAACGCUGGCGGCAGGCCUAACACAUGCAAGUCGAGCGCCCCGCAAGGGGAGCGGCAGACGGGAGAGUAACACGUGGGAACAUGCCCUUCAGUUCGGAACAACCAAGGGAAACUUUGGCUAAUACCGGAUACGCCCGUAAGGGGAAAGAUUUAUCGCUGAAGGAUUGGCCCGCGUCUGAUUAGCUAGUUGGUGGGGUAAUGGCUCACCAAGGCGACGAUCAGUAGCUGGUCUGAGAGGAUGAUCAGCCUCACUGGGACUGAGACACGGCCCAGACUCCUACGGGAGGCAGCAGUGGGGAAUAUUGGACAAUGGGCGCAAGCCUGAUCCAGCCAUGCCGCGUGAGUGAUGAAGGCCUUAGGGUUGUAAAGCUCUUUCGUCAGGGAAGAUAAUGACGGUACCUGAAGAAGAAGCCCCGGCUAACUUCGUGCCAGCAGCCGCCGUAAG
This 467-nucleotide ribosomal RNA is filed under the name uncultured Alphaproteobacteria bacterium. RNAcentral's name for it is "bacterial SSU rRNA". It matches the Rfam family "Bacterial small subunit ribosomal RNA", at positions 9 to 524 of the family's 1533-position model. The record is from RNAcentral. Lineage: Bacteria; Pseudomonadati; Pseudomonadota; Alphaproteobacteria.